This 632-nucleotide unclassified non-coding RNA is filed under the name Centaurea tentudaica. RNAcentral describes it as "partial external transcribed spacer". Lineage: Eukaryota; Viridiplantae; Streptophyta; Magnoliopsida; Asterales; Asteraceae. The record is from RNAcentral.
UGCCCCUCACUUGCCAAUACGUCUAGAUCAGCCAGGGCGUCGGCAUGUGUAGCGUAUUAUGUUGGGCUCUCUCGAGAUAAGGAUACGAUGUCCCUUUAUCGGUUGGUUUCCUGUGUGUGCGGCCCGUUCGUUUUUUUUGUUACUUUCGCAUCGUUCGGUGCAUUCUGGGGGCUGUGUUGGCUUUUGGUGGCUUGCUUGGCCUUUUGGCUUUGCUUGUUGCUACUUGUCGGGCUGCUUUCGGGAAUGUCGACCGUGGAGGUGCAUGAGUGGUGUUUGGUUUGUUACGUGUGGAUGGCUGUUUGCUUGUGCAACAACGUUCACGCUGCAUACCUCUUCAGUUUUGCGGCAAGGCUUGGUUUGGCUUGUGCAUAUUGUGGGUUUCCUGUGUUGCAUACCUAGUUGAUGGAAAAGUGUGGGUUUUACGAUUUUCAUUUUCGUCUUGCGUCGUUCUUCUGGCGUGGGAUGAACAAUGAAGCGAUCUUUAUGAUCCAUCGUGCUGUUGCGUUUGCAACAAUGAUGUGGCCUAUGAAGCAUCGUUUGGUCUCUUGUAUACGGAAGCUCAUUUGGGCUUGGGUCUUUAUAAGAUCUUCGUUACGCCCUUGUUAAGCGUUCUCGCUUCUCCUAAACGAUUG